Non-coding RNA from Acanthosepion pharaonis, 88 nucleotides. The record is from the annotation of a GenBank genome assembly. Lineage: Eukaryota; Metazoa; Mollusca; Cephalopoda; Sepiida; Sepiidae.
AGUUCCCGUACGAUCACGGGACUUAAGCAACGUCGAGCUUGGUCAGUACUUAGAUGGGUGACCGCUUGGGAAUACCCAGUGCUGUAAG